This 35-nucleotide small RNA is filed under the name Bombyx mori (domestic silkworm). Its description in RNAcentral is "ovarian small RNA-957". Lineage: Eukaryota; Metazoa; Arthropoda; Insecta; Lepidoptera; Bombycidae. The record is from RNAcentral.
UUUCACAACAGUAAUGAAUUCAUUUCGAUUCACUG